AGAGUUUGAUCCUGACUCAGGAUGAACGCUAGCUACAGGCUUAACACAUGCAAGUCGAGGGGCAGCAUGAACUUAGCUUGCUAAGUUUGAUGGCGACCGGCGCACGGGUGAGUAACACGUAUCCAACCUUCCGUUUACUCAGGGAUAGCCUUUCUAAAGAAAGAUUAAUACCUGAUAGUAUGGUGAGAUUGCAUGAUAGCACCAUUAAAGAUUUAUUGGUAAACGAUGGGGAUGCGUUCCA
This 241-nucleotide ribosomal RNA is filed under the name uncultured bacterium. Its description in RNAcentral is "partial 16S ribosomal RNA". It matches the Rfam family "Bacterial small subunit ribosomal RNA", at positions 8 to 240 of the family's 1533-position model. The record is from RNAcentral.